This 728-nucleotide ribosomal RNA is filed under the name uncultured bacterium. RNAcentral describes it as "bacterial SSU rRNA". It matches the Rfam family "Bacterial small subunit ribosomal RNA", at positions 28 to 754 of the family's 1533-position model. The record is from RNAcentral.
AUUGAACGCUGGCGGCAGGCUUAACACAUGCAAGUCGAACGAUGACUAACUAGCUUGCUAAAUAUAAUUAGUGGCGGACGGGUGAGUAACAUUUAGGAAUCUGCCUAGUAGUGGGGGAUAGCUCGGGGAAACUCGAAUUAAUACCGCAUACGACCUACGGGUGAAAGGGGGCGCAAGCUCUUGCUAUUAGAUGAGCCUAAAUCAGAUUAGCUAGUUGGUGGGGUAAAGGCCUACCAAGGCGACGAUCUGUAACUGGUCUGAGAGGAUGAUCAGUCACACCGGAACUGAGACACGGUCCGGACUCCUACGGGAGGCAGCAGUGGGGAAUAUUGGACAAUGGGGGCAACCCUGAUCCAGCCAUGCCGCGUGUGUGAAGAAGGCCUUUUGGUUGUAAAGCACUUUAAGCAGGGAGGAGAGGCUAAUGGUUAAUACCCAUUAGAUUAGACGUUACCUGCAGAAUAAGCACCGGCUAACUCUGUGCCAGCAGCCGCGGUAAUACAGAGGGUGCGAGCGUUAAUCGGUAUUACUGGGCGUAAAGCGAGUGUAGGUGGCUCAUUAAGUCACAUGUGAAAUCCCCGGGCUUAACCUGGGAACUGCAUGUGAUACUGGUGGUGCUAGAAUAUGUGAGAGGGAAGUAGAAUUCCAGGUGUAGCGGUGAAAUGCGUAGAGAUCUGGAGGAAUACCGAUGGCGAAGGCAGCUUCCUGGCAUAAUAUUGACACUGAGAUUC